RNAcentral lists this ribosomal RNA (440 nucleotides) under uncultured bacterium. Its description in RNAcentral is "partial 16S ribosomal RNA". It matches the Rfam family "Bacterial small subunit ribosomal RNA", at positions 338 to 795 of the family's 1533-position model. The record is from RNAcentral.
CCUACGGGAGGCAGCAGUGGGGAAUAUUGCACAAUGGGGGAAACCCUGAUGCAGCGACGCCGCGUGAGCGAUGAAGUAUUUCGGUAUGUAAAGCUCUAUCAGCAGGGAAGAAAAUGACGGUACCUGACUAAGAAGCCCCGGCUAACUACGUGCCAGCAGCCGCGGUAAUACGUAGGGGGCAAGCGUUAUCCGGAUUUACUGGGUGUAAAGGGAGCGUAGACGGCUUGGCAAGCCAGAUGUGAAAGGCUGGGGCUCAACCCCAGGACUGCAUUGGGAACUACCGGGCUGGAGUGCCGGAGAGGUAGGCGGAAUUCCUAGUGUAGCGGUGAAAUGCGUAGAUAUUAGGAGGAACACCAGUGGCGAAGGCGGCCUACUGGACGGUGACUGACGCUGAGGCUCGAAAGCGUGGGGAGCAAACAGGAUUAGAUACCCGAGUAGUC